This 867-nucleotide ribosomal RNA is filed under the name Salmonella enterica. Its description in RNAcentral is "partial 23S ribosomal RNA". It matches the Rfam family "Bacterial large subunit ribosomal RNA", at positions 623 to 1495 of the family's 2925-position model. RNAcentral also lists the same sequence under 1 other name. Lineage: Bacteria; Pseudomonadati; Pseudomonadota; Gammaproteobacteria; Enterobacterales; Enterobacteriaceae. The record is from RNAcentral.
GCGACUUAUAUUCUGUAGCAAGGUUAACCGAAUAGGGGAGCCGGAGGGAAACCGAGUCUUAACCGGGCGUUAAGUUGCAGGGUAUAGACCCGAAACCCGGUGAUCUAGCCAUGGGCAGGUUGAAGGUUGGGUAACACUAACUGGAGGACCGAACCGACUAAUGUUGAAAAAUUAGCGGAUGACCUGUGGCUGGGGGUGAAAGGCCAAUCAAACCGGGAGAUAGCUGGUUCUCCCCGAAAGCUAUUUAGGUAGCGCCUCGUGAAUUCAUCUCCGGGGGUAGAGCACUGUUUCGGCUAGGGGGCCAUCCCGGCUUACCAACCCGAUGCAAACUGCGAAUACCGGAGAAUGUUAUCACGGGAGACACACGGCGGGUGCUAACGUCCGUCGUGAAGAGGGAAACAACCCAGACCGCCAGCUAAGGUCCCAAAGUCAUGGUUAAGUGGGAAACGAUGUGGGAAGGCCCAGACAGCCAGGAUGUUGGCUUAGAAGCAGCCAUCAUUUAAAGAAAGCGUAAUAGCUCACUGGUCGAGUCGGCCUGCGCGGAAGAUGUAACGGGGCUAAACCAUGCACCGAAGCUGCGGCAGCGACACUGUGUGUUGUUGGGUAGGGGAGCGUUCUGUAAGCCUGUGAAGGUGUGUCGUGAGGCAUGCUGGAGGUAUCAGAAGUGCGAAUGCUGACAUAAGUAACGAUAAAGCGGGUGAAAAGCCCGCUCGCCGGAAGACCAAGGGUUCCUGUCCAACGUUAAUCGGGGCAGGGUGAGUCGACCCCUAAGGCGAGGCCGAAAGGCGUAGUCGAUGGGAAACGGGUUAAUAUUCCCGUACUUGGUGUUACUGCGAAGGGGGGACGGAGAAGGCUAUGUUGGCCGGG